Molecule: long non-coding RNA, 284 nt
Organism: Ixodes scapularis (black-legged tick)
Lineage: Eukaryota; Metazoa; Arthropoda; Arachnida; Ixodida; Ixodidae
Exons: 3
Source: RefSeq, a predicted model, not a curated record
UUUCCUUUACAGAUUUGUUUACAUUCAAGUCCGCCGCACAUUAAGUAUUAUUUUUCAAUCGGUGGGGAUGGCGUCGGAAGCGGCAGAUGACUCGGAACGUGCUGCAGGAACUCUCGGGUCUGGGAGGGGACAGUGUAAGUCUUGCUACACGACAGGCCCUCGAAGCACUUGUGGUGCAGAAAGUAGCUGUGGAGUACAGCUGGGUUAGACGGAAAGGAAAGCGCCAGUUCACUUCGCUUGCAGUCUGCAAGCUGAUAUGCACAGAAAAUCUUAAGGAGUUCCAG